AGGGGCGUAGUUCAAUUGGUAGAGCGUCGGUCUCCAAAACCGAAUGUUGGGGGUUCGAGUCCCUCCGCCCCUGCCA
Molecule: transfer RNA, 76 nt
Filed under: Escherichia coli
Lineage: Bacteria; Pseudomonadati; Pseudomonadota; Gammaproteobacteria; Enterobacterales; Enterobacteriaceae
Also listed under: 9 other names
Description: tRNA-Trp
Rfam family: tRNA
About the family: Transfer RNA (tRNA) molecules are approximately 80 nucleotides in length.
Source: RNAcentral